Molecule: ribosomal RNA, 445 nt
Filed under: uncultured bacterium
Lineage: Bacteria
Description: partial 16S ribosomal RNA
Rfam family: Bacterial small subunit ribosomal RNA
Source: RNAcentral
GUGAGGAAUAUUGGUCAAUGGGCGAGAGCCUGAACCAGCCAAGUAGCGUGAGGGAUGACUGCCCUAUGGGUUGUAAACCUCUUUUAUAAGGGAAUAAAAUGGUCCACGUGUGGACUUUUGCAUGUACCUUUUGAAUAAGGAUCGGCUAACUCCGUGCCAGCAGCCGCGGUAAUACGGAGGAUCCGAGCGUUAUCCGGAUUUAUUGGGUUUAAAGGGUGCGUAGGCGGACUGAUAAGUCAGCUGUGAAAGUUUGCGGCUCAACCGUAAAAUUGCAGUGGAAACUGUCAGGCUUGAGUGUACAUAAGGUAGGCGGAAUUCGUGGUGUAGCGGUGAAAUGCUUAGAUAUCACGAAGAACUCCAAUUGCGAAGGCAGCUUACCGGGGUACAACUGACGCUGAGGCACGAAAGCGUGGGUAUCAGACAGGAUUAGAAACCCGUGUAGUCC